UACGGAGGAUGCAAGCGUUAUCCGGAAUGAUUGGGCGUAAAGCGUCCGCAGGUGGCAAUGUAAGUCUGCUGUUAAAGAGUCUAGCUCAACUAGAUAAAAGCAGUGGAAACUACAUAGCUAGAGUACGUUCGGGGCAGAGGGAAUUCCUGGUGUAGCGGUGAAAUGCGUAGAGAUCAGGAAGAACACCAGUGGCGAAGGCGCUCUGCUAGGCCGUAACUGACACUGAGGGACGAAAGCUAGGGGAGCAAACGGG
Molecule: ribosomal RNA, 253 nt
Filed under: uncultured bacterium
Lineage: Bacteria
Description: partial 16S ribosomal RNA
Rfam family: Bacterial small subunit ribosomal RNA
Source: RNAcentral